RNAcentral lists this small RNA (29 nucleotides) under Bombyx mori (domestic silkworm). Its description in RNAcentral is "ovarian small RNA-3753". Lineage: Eukaryota; Metazoa; Arthropoda; Insecta; Lepidoptera; Bombycidae. The record is from RNAcentral.
UGCCCCUGAACGGCGUCCCGGCAGGACUC